UCGAACGCGUACGCCGAACGACGACGAAACUUUACCGUAACGAGCGCCUCUGUGUCGCGGGCGGAUUUCUCUUUGGGAGGCUCGAAAGUUUUCACUAACACGUAUCUAAUAAAACUUAUUUUUCCAAUGUUUAUCGUCGCGGCGGACGCGUACAGUGAUCGGAUUAGGAUAAUACAUGAACUUGACGAGGUCGUGGCGCCUGUGCGAACGCGAAUAGUGCAUAAUAGGAACCGGGGCGGUUGUUUAUUUCGGCGGCUGGUUACCGAGGCACCAGUGGGUCCAGUUCAAAAUGUUAUUUUCUCUAUAAAAGUGAUAGCGAGUGACGAUCGAGGUCGACCCGCCAACAAGGAGGAUAUCGAGCUUGUGUGGUAACAGGACCCCGUCGAUAUUCGUCAGUUACGCGAACGCAUUAUCGACCUAAAAGUGAAGCGUCGUAAAACACGGCGAGCUCCGCGUCCGCUAAGGACGGUCUCGAGGCUCCGCGUCCAGGACGUGCAACCAAUCGCAGCAGCAGCAGCAGUGGCGGCGGCAGAGGCGGCUUCGGCUUCGGCAGCGGCGACGGCAACGGCAGCAGUGCAGCCGGCAAGCAGCGACGACUACGGCCGAGAUUGAUUGAGGCGCGCGGCGCCGCGGCGGGCGCGAAGUGAAUUUAGAAAACAACAACAAUAGCAUAGGAAUUAGGAGGGCCUUUUGUUUUGUUAUCCAGCCAUCCCUGUGGCGGUGCGGCGGUGCGGUGCAGUCGGUGCGUGCGUGCUCGUGGCCAGAUUUUCGACGUGGCGGCGGUUUGUGGCGUCUGGUGGCGUGGUUCUCGAAAUGCAUCUCGAUAAGCGCCCGUGCGUGCGCGUACGUACAUAAUAAAUUGGUAACGUGGAAAGGCAAAGCACGGCGCGCCUGCAGCGAGGUGGUGCGCCGCGCGGCGGGCGACAGCGCGCGCGGCUACGCAGCACCAGAGGCAGCAGGGACCCCGCAAAUGAAGGUAUGUAACAUGUACCUAACCUAAGAAUUAUCACGGCGCAGCGCAGUGUCGAGUAACAUCCUAGCACACGUAAUUAAUAUGCCUAGUCAGUACAGCGUUGUACUUGUACGUUUUGAGACGACACUGAUAAAGAAACUGUCUUUUUAACAUUGGAU
This is a long non-coding RNA of Helicoverpa armigera (cotton bollworm), 1131 nucleotides long. RefSeq lists it as uncharacterized. Lineage: Eukaryota; Metazoa; Arthropoda; Insecta; Lepidoptera; Noctuidae. The record is from RefSeq and is a predicted model, not a curated record. The transcript is spliced from 4 exons.